UACGUAGGGGGCAAGCGUUAUCCGGAUUUACUGGGUGUAAAGGGAGCGUAGACGGCGAGGUAAGUCAGAUGUGAAAGACCGGGGCUCAACUCCGGGAUUGCAUUUGAAACUAUUUUGCUUGAGUGCCGGAGAGGUAAGCGGAAUUCCUAGUGUAGCGGUGAAAUGCGUAGAUAUUAGGAGGAACACCAGUGGCGAAGGCGGCUUACUGGACGGUAACUGACGUUGAGGCUCGAAAGCGUGGGGAGCAAAC
Molecule: ribosomal RNA, 250 nt
Filed under: uncultured prokaryote
Description: partial 16S ribosomal RNA
Rfam family: Bacterial small subunit ribosomal RNA
Source: RNAcentral